GAUGAACGCUAGCGGGAGGCUUAACACAUGCAAGUCGAACGAGUUGUAUAUAGUAGCAAUAUUGUAUACGGCAAGUGGCGAACGGGUGAGUAACACGUAGAUAAUCUGCCUUUCAGACGGGGACAACUCAGGGAAACUUGUGCUAAUACCCGAUGAGACUACGAGGGGGGACUUUCGUAGCCAAAGGUGGGGGCAACCUCACGCUGAAAGAUGAGUCUGCGUCCUAUCAGCUAGUUGGUGGGGUAAAAGCCUACCAAGGCGAAGACGGGUAGCCGGCCUGAGAGGGUGAACGGCCACACUGGGACUGAGACACGGCCCAGACUCCUACGGGAGGCAGCAGUGAGGAAUUUUCCGCAAUGGGCGCAAGCCUGACGGAGCGACGCCGCGUGAGGGAUGACGGCCUUCGGGUUGUAAACCUCUUUUAUUAGGGAAAAAGACAUUUGUGCUAAUACCACGGAUGUUUGAUUGUACCUGUUGAAUAAGCCCCGGCUAACUACGUG
RNAcentral lists this ribosomal RNA (500 nucleotides) under uncultured bacterium. RNAcentral's name for it is "bacterial SSU rRNA". It matches the Rfam family "Bacterial small subunit ribosomal RNA", at positions 28 to 507 of the family's 1533-position model. The record is from RNAcentral.